Molecule: ribosomal RNA, 267 nt
Filed under: uncultured bacterium
Lineage: Bacteria
Description: partial 16S ribosomal RNA
Rfam family: Bacterial small subunit ribosomal RNA
Source: RNAcentral
GUGCCUACGGGGGGCAGCAGUAGGGAAUAUUGCUCAAUGGGGGAAACCCUGAAGCGGCAACGCCGCGUGGAGGAUGAAGGUUUUCGGAUUGUAAACUCCUUUUGUUAGAGAAGAUAAUGACGGUAUCUAACGAAUAAGCACCGGCUAACUCCGUGCCAGCAGCCGCGGUAAUACGUAGGGAGCAAGCGUUGUCCGGAAUUACUGGGCGUAAAGGGCGCGUAGGUGGGCGCUUGAGUCAGGUGUGAAAACUCCGGGCUCAACCUGGAG